GGGAGAACAAAGUAUUCAGAAACUACAAGAAGUGAUCAUAAAGUUUAUCAAGGGUGCGUAUCAAAGACUGAUACGAGAGCUCCUCUAUCUUCACAAUAUUAUUAACCCAAGUUUCAUGUCCUAUUACAAUCUAAAGAUAGGUAGCAUACACGCUAUUGAUACUAGGACGACAGACAUAAACAGAACGGAGGAUGGAAAACUACCCUUAUCACUCCGGAGAAAGAGUGCUUCAUACACUGGCACAUUCACUAGAACUAUUAAUCC
RNAcentral lists this unclassified non-coding RNA (264 nucleotides) under Hevea brasiliensis (rubber tree). Lineage: Eukaryota; Viridiplantae; Streptophyta; Magnoliopsida; Malpighiales; Euphorbiaceae. The record is from RNAcentral.